UGGGGAAUUUUGGACAAUGGGCGAAAGCCUGAUCCAGCCAUGCCGCGUGAGUGAAGAAGGCCUUCGGGUUGUAAAGCUCUUUUAGUCGGAAAGAAAGAGUUGCAAUGAAUAAUUGUGAUUUAUGACGGUACCGACAGAAAAAGCACCGGCUAACUACGUGCCAGCAGCCGCGGUAAUACGUAGGGUGCGAGCGUUAAUCGGAAUUACUGGGCGUAAAGGGUGCGCAGGCGGUCUUGUAAGUCAGAUGUGAAAGCCCCGGGCUUAACCUGGGAAUUGCGUUUGAAACUACAAGACUAGAGUGCAGCAGAGGGGAGUGGAAUUCCAUGUGUAGCAGUGAAAUGCGUAGAGAUGUGGAAGAACACCGAUGGCGAAGGCAGCUCCCUGGGUUGACACUGACGCUCAUGCACGAAAGCGUGGGGAGCAAACA
Molecule: ribosomal RNA, 427 nt
Filed under: uncultured beta proteobacterium
Lineage: Bacteria; Pseudomonadati; Pseudomonadota; Betaproteobacteria
Description: bacterial SSU rRNA
Rfam family: Bacterial small subunit ribosomal RNA
Source: RNAcentral